Molecule: long non-coding RNA, 666 nt
Organism: Lepidothrix coronata (blue-crowned manakin)
Lineage: Eukaryota; Metazoa; Chordata; Aves; Passeriformes; Pipridae
Exons: 2
Source: RefSeq, a predicted model, not a curated record
GGAAGUGCUGUAUGGUGGGAGAAGUCUGCCUGAAAAACCCUCUGAUAACCAAAAGUCCGAGGAAAAACUCAGCAGUGAAAAAUACGGACCCAACUGGUUUUCCAGCCCUGCAGUGGCCACGGGACUGCUGCUGCUGUCCCAGAUAACAUUUUCACAACCCCAAAGAUCCCCGUGCUCUCAGAACCCACAAGGCUGCACGUCCACAGCUGGUUUUUACCCCUGUUUGUUCUCCCUGGCUUUGGUUUAGGGUCAGGGUGUUCGACCUGCGCGGGGGCGAGUCCGUGUGCUCCCUCUACGCCCACCAGCUGGGAGUGUCUGCGGUGCAGAUGGACGACUGGAAGAUCGUCAGUGGGGGAGAAGAGGGCCUGGUGUGCGUGUGGGACCAGCGGAUGGGCACCAAGCUGUGGGAGAUGCACGCCAGGCACCCGGUUCGCCACGUGUGGUUCAAUUCCCACAGUCUGAUCACGGCAAACAUCCCUGAGGAGAGGAACCCCCGGGGCAGCAGCGGCGCCGACGAUGACCCCGCCGUGCACCGCAAGUGAGUUAAGGCAGCUCUCACAGAUCUGCUCUCCCUUAUAUAUUUUUUAAAUAGCACACUAAGCCCCUGAGUCAUAAUCCAGAGCAGGAACAGAGGAGGUAAAGCAUCUUAAAAAAAAAAAAAAAAAA